ACGGGUGAGUAAUGUCUGGGGAUCUGCCCGAUAGAGGGGGAUAACCACUGGAAACGGUGGCUAAUACCGCAUAACGUCGCAAGACCAAAGAGGGGGACCUUCGGGCCUCUCACUAUCGGAUGAACCCAGAUGGGAUUAGCUAGUAGGCGGGGUAACGGCCCACCUAGGCGACGAUCCCUAGCUGGUCUGAGAGGAUGACCAGCCACACUGGAACUGAGACACGGUCCAGACUCCUACGGGAGGCAGCAGUGGGGAAUAUUGCACAAUGGGCGCAAGCCUGAUGCAGCCAUGCCGCGUGUAUGAAGAAGGCCUUCGGGUUGUAAAGUACUUUCAGCGGGGAGGAAGGCGAUGUGGUUAAUAACCGCAUUGAUUGACGUUACCCGCAGAAGAAGCACCGGCUAACUCCGUGCCAGCAGCCGCGGUAAUACGGAGGGUGCAAGCGUUAAUCGGAAUUACUGGGCGUAAAGCGCACGCAGGCGGUCUGUUAAGUCAGAUGUGAAAUCCCCGGGCUUAACCUGGGAACUGCAUUUGAAACUGGCAGGCUUGAGUCUCGUAGAGGGGGGUAGAAUUCCAGGU
This 576-nucleotide ribosomal RNA is filed under the name uncultured bacterium. RNAcentral describes it as "bacterial SSU rRNA". It matches the Rfam family "Bacterial small subunit ribosomal RNA", at positions 102 to 674 of the family's 1533-position model. The record is from RNAcentral.